Girardinichthys multiradiatus is the source of this 413-nucleotide long non-coding RNA. RefSeq lists it as uncharacterized. The transcript has 3 exons. Lineage: Eukaryota; Metazoa; Chordata; Actinopteri; Cyprinodontiformes; Goodeidae. The record is from RefSeq and is a predicted model, not a curated record.
AUUUAACACUCGGUGCAGUUCGGUGGUUAAAUAGGCUCCGCUUUCCUUCCACUGCCCUCUGCUCCUGUCUGCGCCGACGCGCCAGGGAUGAUGCCUUUGAGGGACAAUAGAAAGACGGAACUUUUAACACUAUGGCACAAUAAGGGGUUGUCCAGGAGCUAAAAGCGAGCGCACAGCGCUAACAUUAGCAGGAGGCAAGAAGCUCUGCUAUCAAAACAGCCAACAGAAACUGACCCCUCAGCCAGACGGAGCCUUCCGGCUAAUCCUCCUUCAUACUGGCCGAGGUUGCUGAAACACUCCUCCCUGAAAGUGCUUCUCGCAAACCCCAUUGAUGUCGGCACGUUUCCAUGAAAAAUAAAAUUUCACCAGGCAGAGGUUCUGAUCCUGGGGGACGGUGUAAUGACUGGUGUGGG